CCUACGGGGGGCUGCAGUGGGGAAUAUUGGGCAAUGGGCGCAAGCCUGACCCAGCAACGCCGCGUGAAGGAAGAAGGCUUUCGGGUUGUAAACUUCUUUUCUCAGGGACGAAGAAAGUGACGGUACCUGAGGAAUAAGCCACGGCUAACUACGUGCCAGCCGCCGCGGUAAUACGUAGGUGGCAAGCGUUAUCCGGAUGUAUUGGGUGUAAAGGGCGUGUAGGCGGGAGCGCAAGUCAGAUGUGAAAACUUAGGGCUCAACCCUGAGACUGCAUUGGAAACUGUGUUUCUGGAGUACUGGAGAGGCAAUCGGAAUUCCGGGUGUAGCGGUGAAAUGCGUAGAUAUAAGGAGGAACACCAGUGGCGAAGGCGGAUUGCUGGACAGUAACUGACGCUGAGGCGCGAAAGCGUGGGGAGCAAACAGGAUUAGAUACCCGAGUAGUC
Molecule: ribosomal RNA, 443 nt
Filed under: uncultured bacterium
Lineage: Bacteria
Description: partial 16S ribosomal RNA
Rfam family: Bacterial small subunit ribosomal RNA
Source: RNAcentral